RNAcentral lists this ribosomal RNA (320 nucleotides) under uncultured soil bacterium. RNAcentral describes it as "bacterial SSU rRNA". It matches the Rfam family "Bacterial small subunit ribosomal RNA", at positions 26 to 376 of the family's 1533-position model. The record is from RNAcentral.
AGAACGAACGCUGGCGGCAUGCCUAAUACAUGCAAGUCGAACGAAGGCUUCGGCCUUAGUGGCGCACGGGUGCGUAACGCGUGGGAAUCUGCCCCUUGGUUCGGAAUAACAGUUGGAAACGACUGCUAAUACCGGAUGAUGACGAAAGUCCAAAGAUUUAUCGCCAAGGGAUGAGCCCGCGUAGGAUUAGCUAGUUGGUGAGGUAAAGGCUCACCAAGGCGACGAUCCUUAGCUGGUCUGAGAGGAUGAUCAGCCACACUGGGACUGAGACACGGCCCAGACUCUACGGAGGCAGCAGUAGGGAAUAUUGGACAAAUGGG